Molecule: non-coding RNA, 121 nt
Organism: Mesocricetus auratus (golden hamster)
Lineage: Eukaryota; Metazoa; Chordata; Mammalia; Rodentia; Cricetidae
Source: Rfam
AGCUGAUUUCCUGAAGCUCUGAGUGCGCCCAAUUUCAUCUGAUCUCAGAAGCUAAGCAGGGUCGGGCCUGGUUAGUACUUGGAUGGGAGACCACCUGGGCACAGAUUUACAAAGUUUGCUU